CCGGGCUCGUGUAUAGGGGACAUGAUUAGUGAAAUAACAGACAAAGCUUUAAACAACGGAAAACAACGCUACUGCAUGAACACCUCAAUUUUAGGUUUCAUGAACAACAUUUUUUACGAAUUUUGAAUCAUAGUUGUUUUCCCAGGCUGUUUUAAUACAUAAAUAUGCAACAGAUGAACAGACGAACGAUAAGUGUCUUGCACAUGGACAGUCCUUUUAAAUAAUUGUUCUGAGGGAAUGUAAAAUUCUUCACCAUGCACUUUGGACAUGUCUUUCAAAGGAAUUCAUUUAAUAUGACAAAAAAUAUUAGGUCCUUGGUGAGAUAAUU
This is a non-coding RNA of Paramuricea clavata, 328 nucleotides long. The record is from the annotation of a GenBank genome assembly. Lineage: Eukaryota; Metazoa; Cnidaria; Anthozoa; Malacalcyonacea; Plexauridae.